GACGAACGCUGGCGGCGUGCUUAACACAUGCAAGUCGAACGGAGUGGCGAACGGGUGAGUAACACGUGGGUGACCUGCCCUGCACUUCGGGAUAAGCAUGGGAAAAUGGGUCUACUACUGGAUAGUGUGGGAUGGGCCCGGGGCCAAUCAGCUUGUUGGGGGAGUAAUGGCCUACCAAGGCGGCGACGGGUAGCCGGCCUGAGAGGGUGGACAGCCACAUUGGGACUGAGACACGGACCAGACUCGUACGGGAGGCAGCAGUGGGGAAUAUUGCACAAUGGGCGGAAGCCUGAUGCAGCGACGCCGCGUGGGGGAUGACGGCCUUCGGGUUGUAAACUCCUUUCACCAUCGACGCGGUAGAUGGAGAAGAAGCACCGGCUAACUACGUGCCAGCAGCCGCGGUAAUUC
Molecule: ribosomal RNA, 408 nt
Filed under: uncultured bacterium
Lineage: Bacteria
Description: partial 16S ribosomal RNA
Rfam family: Bacterial small subunit ribosomal RNA
Source: RNAcentral